Ricinus communis (castor bean) is the source of this 1574-nucleotide long non-coding RNA. RefSeq lists it as uncharacterized. NCBI's taxonomy places the organism in Eukaryota, Viridiplantae, Streptophyta, Magnoliopsida, Malpighiales, Euphorbiaceae. The transcript is spliced from 3 exons. The record is from RefSeq and is a predicted model, not a curated record.
UUCUCCCCGAUAUAGGAAAAAGAAGAAAAAAUUUUUUUUUAGCUAUAAACAGAAAUUGUGUGCUUGGAUGUGGAAAUAAAAGGAUUUGAAGCUUUCAAUUCCAAUUUCCGAAGUAAUAAAAAUAACAGGGCAUAUGCUAUUCAUGUAAUUGAAUUGACUACUUUGGAGUCGAGUGCCCUCUCGCUUUGAACUUUCUUCCCAAGAUUUCUAAAAGAAAGAGUCAAUAUUUAUAAGUGAUGAGAAGAAAAUUCAAACUGGAAACCUGACGAGUCUGGGAUAUAUACCUGGUUUCUUGGCAUAUUAACUUGGCUGAAAAUAAAACUCUAGUUCAAAGAGACACUGCUCCUAAAAAGCAGUUCUUGUAAUUGGAAUAAUUUUAAGAAAUCUCCUUCUUUUUGCGAAAAAAAAAAAAAAAACGACUGAUGUUUGAGCCUUUACUUAAAUCUACUCCUGAGUCAAUCUUCUCAAUCUUGAUUAGCUGGAGGCUCUUGCAAACAUAUAUCCCAUGUGGGAUUCAUCCCUUACCAGAAUUACAGGCCUGCUCCAAGCCCAGUUUUUAAUCCAGAGUUAAUUCUCCCUGUUAACGAUACAGAGUUUACAGAUUUACAGGAAUCCAAAUAUUUGGAGCAAGAGGAGUGUAUAUACUACAUGCUUACUAGUUAUUAGUCCCUGUAAUCCGUCUAUUCAAUUUUAUUGUAUAUAGGCAUGCAUUUUAUUGCUCUUUUUGGGGAUGUUAGUCAUGGAUUACUGAAUUGAUAUUAAGUUUGAAACUUUCUAAUCUCAGAAUUCUACAGCAUUACUUCUUGCAAGAAUCAUAAGAUGAGUCAUCUUAUUUUGAUAUCAAACGGACAGGCAGGACUAAUGCUGAUCAACUCUGCUCUACAUUUUUAUUUUUUUUCUAACAAGUAAACCUUGCAUGGUUAUAAAUUAUAAAAUGCCAUCAUAACAGAGUGCAUAUUGGGAAGCGAGGCAGAGAAGGGCACUAGAUGUUUGAUUUGCAAUGGCGUGCAGAGGAACCAUCCUGUGCAUUGAGAUGCCAAAAGCUUCUGUGUUAUCUAUAUCAUGAGCUUUUACUCCUGGAGGAAGUUCCCAAUCAAAGCUGUGGAGAAGUUGAGUCAAAGCAAGCUCAACAUUUGCUGUUGCAAAUGUGAUGGCUGGGCAGCUUCUUCUACCCGCUCCAAAAGGCAUUGACAUAAAUGCGUGAUUUAGUAGGAAUCUUGUACCCGUCAACGAUAACUUCUUCCAUGGAUUCUCUUGGGAUCAGAACUGGAACAGCAGGAUCUAAUCGGAAUAUCUCUUUGAUUACAGCUUUCAUAUAGUGCAGCCGAGGCAGAUCACCCUCUUGCACGACUCUUCUCUCUCCAACAAUUCUUCGAAUUUCUGCUUGUGCUUUCUCCAUGACUCUAGGACUCAUGAUCAGCUCUGUCAUUGCCCAAUCAAGGGUUGUGAAAGUUGUACCGGUUCCUGCAACAAUGUAUCAAAAUCAGUUUUAAUUUGAUUGGAUUGAGUCAUUUAUCAGUAAUUUGCAAGUGAAUCAAAGCAUCAAGUCGUUACUGACCAAGAUUGCCGCUUUA